UUGCAGUGUUUUCCCGCUAUAUCAUUUGCUAACAGAAAUACUAUUAAUUCAUUUGUAUGUACUAGCACCAACUAGUGGCCCUAUUCCUGCUGCCAAGCUAUCAUAUUAUGUUCAGAUUCGAUCGAGACAGUCGUUAGAAUUAUAACUCGUUCUAUCAUACCUCACAUAGUUGUCGCAAGUGGGUGGCGGCAUUUAUGUUUUGCCACGCAGAGUAUCUGCUUAUUAUCAAGUGGUAUUUGAAAGUCCCUUCCAUACAUUUCCGAAUCCACAAAGUAUGUCAGUAGAACAAAUUGAGAGAUUCAAUAAAUGGAAAUCUGUUCUCAGCGCAGACUCUCAGGAAGACACAAAAAUACAUGUAUAAUAAAUAACAUUCGGCUUUACAACAGACAUUUUGAGAAGUGCCAUAAACUAUCAUCAAAUAUAUUUACUAAAAUUCAGUUCCAACAUUAUUCCUUGGCCAAACCAUGCAACUCCCAUUGAAAUUUAUAGGCUGCAGUUGGUGAGUGGAAUCGAGUAAUAUGGAAAAAUUUUAAAGUGUAUUAAACAGAGCCUUUAAGAAGAGCACAAAUUAUAAUUGGAUUUUUUUGAAAUUAAUGAAACCAGUGAAAGAAUUAAAGGAUAAAUGUAGAAAACAAAGAAAUGAAAUUAAAAUUGUAAAAAAGCUUUCAAGGACUAAAGCUUUUAUUAAAAAAAUAGAUAAAUUACCUGAACCCAUAAAUCUUUUUAUAAAGAUUGAUGAUGGGGGAUGGGGGAUGACUGCCAUGUUACACCAAGUGGCCUGCAAGCAUGUUCAUUCUUCUACGCAAUGUAAAUUAAUAUAAAAUAUUUACUUUCAAAGGAUUGAUAAUGUCAAAAUUUGAUGGGAAAAUUUUAUGGAGCACAUAAAAUGUCUGAAAAAUGAUAAUCAAGAUUGAUGCACAAUAUUUGGACCAGAAGGUGUUUAUGUCACAAAUUAAUUAAUUUGUAUGAUUACAUUAAUACUCAAUUUUUCAUGGUCGUAGUUUUUUAAUAUAAGUUACUCACUUAAGGUACUUUGUUUCUCCUUUUCAAAAUAGAAACUGAUUCAGUGAGGAAUUUGAACUCGCAAGGGAACUUAUUUUUUUUAAAUAUGUUUAAAAUUAUAAAUUAAUAAUUGAAAUAGUCCAUGAGAUCUAAAUAAUUUAAACCAAAUUUUUUUAAAUAGGUUUUUUAGUUCUUAUUGUUAUACAAUAAGAUUUCAAUAGAUAUUUUAGUUAGUAAGUUAGGCAAUAAUAUAUGAAAAUGUUGAUAUACAAUAUUGUAAACAACCCUUUGUAAAUUCUACGGGAAGUUGAUUUUAAUUGAUGGUGGAUCAAAAGCCAACGGUCUUGAAAAGUAUUAUUUGCAAUUAUUCAGAUUAACCACGAAAUAGUAUGUAUGUUACGUCGCAUUGUUUUAUGUAUGAGCUGAUAGAAAUGGAAAUGCCCAGAGAUGAUUACAGUUAUGACAUUUUAAUUCCUUGAAAUCAGUAUACUUUACUUGCGUGACUAAGUGUAUUAAUAAUUUAUUAAAACCUAAGCGGUAGACAGCGACGCCUAUGGCACUGCUGAACUCCAUGAGCAUUGGUAAUCACCUAACCAUAAGCAGGAUUUUUUAUUUAUUUCUUAGAUGGGUGGACUAGGUCGCAGCCGACCUGGUGUUAAGUGGUAACUGAAGACCAUAGAUAUCUACAACUUAAAUGCGCCACCCACCUUGAGAUAUAAGUUCUAAGGUCUGAGCAGAGGCGGAUUUACCCUAAGGCCCGAUAGGCCCGGGCCUAGGGCGGACAGAUUUAGGGGCGGCCCAAAUCUUGUCAAAAAAGCUUAGAUAUGUAACGUAUGCGGCGGCGGCGGACUGCACUGCAUGGUGCAAUCAAUCUAUGCCGCAUAAAACUAUUUUUUUUUCCUAAAUUUCUAAAUCUAAAAAGUUGACAAUAAUUUCAUUAUGUGUAGUCUUGUGGUGGACGCUGAGAAAGAGGCGGCUGAUGGCUUGGGGCCUAGGGCAGCCGAGACUGCAAAUCUGCCACUGGGUCUGAGUAUACCUAGUCUUGCCAUAAGUAAAUACUGAGACAAAGGAAAACAAAAAUGUCUAUUGCAAAUAACAUUUAUUACUUUUACAGUGUGUUAGUUUAAUACAUAAAUAUAAAAAAUUUUAAAGUAUAUAAAGCUUAUUCGAAGUGGUCUCCAUUGGCUGCAAUACAGUCUUUUAAACGUUGAGGCCAGUUAUCAAUAGAAGCACGCACUCUUUCCAUGGGAAAAUUUUUCACUGCCAAUCGUACGGAUUGUUUUAGGGAUUCCAAAUUAUCAUGGCGUUUAGAGCAAGGCGUACUCUCUAAAACUGACCAUAAAUCAUAAUCCAGCGGCUUAAGAUCGGGACUAGACGACGGCCAGUCUCCAGCUCUGAUGAAGUCCGAAACGUUCGUUUUCAACCAAGACUGCGUAGACCGAGCUUUAUGACCUGGCGCCGAGUCUUGCUGGAAGGACCAUUCUUGAUUAUUGAACAUGGUGUUGUUAAGGGGCUUCACUACCUUCUCAAGAAUGGUAUCUUGAUACACUUGUGCCGAUGUUUUGAUACCUUGUUCACAAAAGUAUGGCUCAGUCACUCCUUCAUAGCUAAUACCCCACCAAACCAUAACUGAAGUCGGAUAGUGCCCACGUUGCACUCUGUCGACUAAUUGGGAAGUGUUAAAAUGUUGCUCAAUUGUAAAAAUUUUCUCAUCCGUAAACAGUUUUUUUUUUAUGAUUGAAUGAUUACUUGUGGCCCGGAGGCCUUUCCAGUUUCACCAGGACAGGUGAAACCUGCCAGGGCGAGCAAAGGCUCAGCCAGGAGGGGUGGGAUUUGCUAACAGCUACCCGAGCGCCUCCGAAGGAGACCUAACAGCUCAAGAGUAGCUGCUUCGCGAAUGAGUCUACUACCGGAUCGGAAUCGCGACCCGCUGAGAAGAUCCGGCGAGAAACUCAGCGAGCUGAUUCAUGGGUUAGGUUGCACGGCGAACUCUUUGUCGAGUUCGACGAGUACGGUUACCGAGGUCCCUAAGCCUGCUCCUAGUGUCAGAGCUGAAGGCGUCUAAUGCAAAAGUUAUUGGAUCUGAUGGAUCCGUAAGGACGUGUCUAGGGCGUUGACGGUGACUGGCUCCUGCGUGAUCAGGAUUCGGGGAGUAGUCAGCGGAGGCAACGAUAAGGCGAUUACUCUGCGCUUACGUUCCAUCGAAGCAAUGUCAGAGCUCGACUCAGACCACCGACCUGUCGUUAUGCAGCUCGGUCGCCCCCACAACCCAGUCACAGCUACGAGGACCAUGGUGGACUGGAAGAAGCUGGGCAAAUGCUUAGCCGAUGCCGCUCCACCAAUCCUCCCCUGCGGCCCGGAUUCAACUCCAUCCCCCGAGGACACAGUCGAAUCCAUAAACAUCAUCACGGAUCACAUCUCUUCCGCGAUCAUAAGAUCCUCAAAAGAAGUCGAUGUGGAGGAUAGCUUUCACCGCAUCAGACUGUCCCCCGAACUUAGGAACCUCCUAAGAGUUAGAAACGCGGCAAUCCGGGCCUACGAUCAACUUCCCACGCACUCAAACCGGAUUCGGAUGCGUCGUCUACAGCGGGAUGUAAAAUCUCGCCUAAGCGACGCCCGAAAUGAGAAUUGGGAUAGUUACUUAGAAGGACUCGCGCCCUCUCAUCAAGCAUACUGGCGACUAGCAAGGACUCUCAAGUCCGAAACUACCGCUACUAUGCCUCCUCUCGUACGCCCUUCAGGACAACCACCGGCUUUCGAUGACGAUGACAAGGCAGAGUUGCUGGCCGAUGCACUGCAAGAGCAGUGCACCACCAGCACUCAAUACGCGGACCCCGAACACUCCGAGGCAGUCGACAGGGAGGUCGAGCGCAGAGCUUCCCUGCCACCCUCGGACGCGUUACCCCCCAUUACCUCUGACGAAGUUAGAAAAGUAAUAGAUAACCUUCAACCUAAGAAGGCACCCGGCUCCGACGGCAUCCGCAACCGCGCGUUAAAACUCUUACCAGUCCAACUGAUAACAAUGUUGGCUACCAUCUUAAAUGCCGCUAUGACGCACUGCAUCUUUCCGGCGGUGUGGAAAGAAGCGGACGUUAUCGGUAUACACAAGCCGGGCAAACCGAAUAAUGAAACCGCUAGUUACCGUCCGAUUAGUCUCCUCCCAGCGAUAGGCAAAAUUUACGAACGACUCCUUCGGAAACGCCUCUGGGACUUCGUUACCGCGAAUAAAAUUCUAAUAGACGAGCAGUUUGGAUUCCGCGCCAAACACUCGUGCGUACAACAAGUGCACCGCCUCACGGUGCACAUCUUAAUAGGGCUAAAUAGGCGUAAACAAAUCCCGACCGGCGCCCUCUUCUUCGAUGUAGCGAAGGCGUUCGACAAAGUCUGGCACAACGGUUUGAUCUACAAACUGUACAACAUGGGAGUGCCAGACAGACUCGUGCUCAUCAUACGAGACUUCUUGUCGAACCGUUCGUUUCGAUAUCGAGUAGAGGGAACUCGUUCUCGUCCCCGUCAUCUGACUGCCGGAGUCCCGCAAGGCUCCGCACUCUCCCCGUUACUAUUUAGUUUGUAUAUCAACGAUAUACCCCGGUCUCCGGAGACCCAUCUAGCGCUCUUCGCCGAUGACACGGCUAUCUACUACUCGUGUAGGAAGAUGUCGUUGCUUCAUCGGCGACUCCAGACCGCAGUAACCACCAUGGGACAGUGGUUCCGGAAGUGGCGAAUAGACAUUAACCCCACGAAAAGCACAGCGGUGCUAUUCAAAAGGGGUCGCCCUCCGAAUACCACUUCGAGCACCCCACUCCCCAAUAGGCGCGUAAACACCUCCGCCGUUAGCCCCAUCACUCUCUUUGACCAGCCCAUACCGUGGGCCCCGAAGGUCAAAUACCUAGGCGUCACCCUCGACAGAGGGAUGACAUUCCGUCCCCACGUAAAAACGGUACGCGAUCGCGCCGCGUUUAUACUAGGACGACUCUACCCAAUGCUUUGUAGACGAAGCAAACUGUCCCUCCGUAACAAGGUAACCCUCUACAAAACUUGCAUACGCCCCGUCAUGACGUAUGCAAGCGUAGUGUUCGCUCACGCGGCCCGCACCAACUUGAAACCCCUUCAGGUUAUACAAUCCCGAUUCUGCAGGAUAGCCGUCGGAGCACCAUGGUUCCAGAGGAACGUGGACCUCCACGAUGACCUGGAGCUCGACCCCGUCAGUAAGUAUCUACAGUCGGCAUCGCUGCGCCACUUUGAGAAGGCGGCACGACAUGAGAAUCCUCUUGUCGUGGCCGCCGGAAACUACAUACCCGAUCCUGUAGACCGUUUGGUAAACCGUCGACGUCGCCCAAAGCACGUCAUCACGGAUCCUCCUGAUCCAUUAACGGUGCUUUUAGGCAAUACAAGCACCGGUCACCGUCCUCGCCGAACCCGUCGCUUGCGACGAAGGGCUCGACGAGCGAAUUAACCCACAGACACAGCCCACUGAGUUUCUCGCCGGAUCUUCUCAGUGGGUCGCGCUUCCGAUCCGGUGGUAGAUUCUGCGAAGCACUGCUCUUGCUAGGGCGGUGUUAGCAAUUCUCCGGUUUGAGCCCCGCGAGCUCACCUACACAAGCUAGGGUACGCUGAAAUAGCCUCUCAAGGCUAUCAGCAUAGGUAGGAAUAAAAAAAAAGGCGAUUAUCAUGACGCAUAGCCUUAUCGAAGUACCGUUCCGACGCUGACUUCAUGUAUUUCUGGAUAGAUUCGAGGCCCAGGUCGUCGUGUAGGUCAACGUUCCUCACGAACCACGGAGCUCCGACGGCUAACCUGCAAAAGCGGGAUUGUAGAGAUUGUAGGGUGUCUAAGUGUGUGCGGGCCGCGUGAGCGAACACCACACUCGCGUAAGUCAUGACGGGCCUUAUGCAAGUUUUGUAAAGUGUCACCUUGUUCCGAAGGGACAUUUUACUCCGCUUACAGAUCAUGGGGUAGAGUCUACCGAGAAUAAACGCGGCACGGUCACGGACUGAUUUUAUAUGUGGGCGGAAUGUCAUCGAUGCAUCCAGGGUAACGCCCAGGUACUUGACCUUCCUGGCCCAGGGUAUGGGUUGUCUAAAGAGAGUAAUCGGGGGUGUGAGAUUCCUCCUCCUAAUACGGGAGGAAAUCCGUGUGGAGCUUUCCCUCUGAAAUAGCACCGCAGUACUUUUCGCUGGGUUGAUGUCUAUGCGCCAUUUUCGGAACCACUGUCCUAGGGCUAGGGCUGCGCUCUGAAGCUUCUUCGCGAUUAGGGACUUGUUUCUACUGGAAUAGUAAACAGUCGUGUCGUCGGCGAAUAAAGCUAAAUGGGUCGGUGGCGACCGGGGAAUAUCGUUAACGAAUAAGCUAAAUAGGAGGGGUGAGAGGACAGAGCCUUGCGGGACUCCAGUUGUGAGAGGGAAAAUUUUUUUUUUUCUAUGACCUCCCUUUGCGUACCGCUUCAGUAGUUGUUUCGAUUUUACCACCCUAUUCUCUUUUAAAUUAUCAGUUAAGAAAUGACGUCGCUUAUAGGCUGCAAGUCCUAAUAGUAUAGGAUCCGAUAUACAACGACCUUCACCGAGCUGGUUAAUGGAUCAAACACAUUUUUUAUGUAAUUUAAUAUAUCAAAAAAUAUAUUGUAUAUGGGUUGCCUAGCAAAUUUCAGUCCAGGAUAUUUUUAAUUAAUUUUGUAAGUAAGUAAAGUUGUUGUAGUAACAUGUCUUUCUGCAGAGGCCUGAAGGCUCGCCUCUUUGGAAGCUUCGGUAGCAUACUUCACACCAUCCGGCCCGGGUACCGAAAGGCGCCGGGCGUCAACCGGAUCACCCGACAGAUCACUUUCAAAUGUUUCUCUGUCCAUGACUCUCUUGGGAUGUAAUUGUGGUGGGUUCCCACGUCCUUCCGCAUCAGUAUUUCGAAGGGAUUUAGUCCUUCACGGCAACUGGUCCCGCUCCGGGUCACUGGUUGGAUCCGGGGGCUGGGUUAUUUCCCGCCGCCCAGUGCUCGGCAUUGACGUUUUACGGUAGGAAUGUCCAUCUCUACUCAACCCUCCUCUUUUCUCAUCCGGGCUUGGGACCGGCUAUGGCAGACUUAAUGCAAACUAAUGGUUUUUUAAUCAGUUUAAUUAAUUGUAAGAUGAUUUUUUUUAAAUCUCGUGUUUGUUACAUCGAUAAUAUUAAUCGAUUAUCACAAAAGCUAAAGGGUCAGAAACGUCAGAAUAGAAAAAAAAUUACACGAGAUAAAACAAACUAUUAUAAUCAUGUGUAAGAUUUCUAUGAGCGUCGUUAAAUAUCAACUAUUAAUAUUUAUGAGUAUUUGUAAGUCGUCAUUACUUUUUUGAGAUGUUUUUUGAACUUAAAUCACUUUGGCGAUUUAACGUUAUAAAAGGACUUAUUUUUGUUCGAAAUUUUAUACAAUUGUAUGUUAUAUAUUUACUUUAAACAGUAAAUUGUAUAUCAUAAAAGGAAAAUAAAUAGCUUACCGAAA
Bombyx mori (domestic silkworm) is the source of this 7465-nucleotide long non-coding RNA. RefSeq annotates it as probable RNA-directed DNA polymerase from transposon BS. The transcript has 4 exons. The record is from RefSeq and is a predicted model, not a curated record. NCBI's taxonomy places the organism in Eukaryota, Metazoa, Arthropoda, Insecta, Lepidoptera, Bombycidae.